CAACGUGCGGAAUGUGGGGAAGACGCUGGUCUCCAGGACACAAGGAACGAAGAUUGCUUCCGAAGGACUGAAACACCGAGUAUUUGAGGUCUCCUUGGCAGACCUUCAACAUGAUGAGGAUCAGGCUUACAGAAAGAUUCGUCUGAGGUCUGAGGAUGUUCAGGGCAAGAAUGUCCUAACCAAUUUCUGGGGAAUGAGUUUCACGACAGACAAGGUGAGGUCUUUGGUUCGGAAGUGGCAGACCUUGAUUGAGGCACAUGUAGAUGUGAAGACCACGGAUAACUACACUCUGAGAAUGUUCUGUAUUGGAUUCACCAAAAGGCGCCCUAACCAGGUCAAGAGAACCUGUUAUGCACAGUCGAGCCAG
Molecule: unclassified non-coding RNA, 367 nt
Filed under: Hevea brasiliensis (rubber tree)
Lineage: Eukaryota; Viridiplantae; Streptophyta; Magnoliopsida; Malpighiales; Euphorbiaceae
Source: RNAcentral